UCAGGAUGAACGCUGGCGGCGUGCUUAACACAUGCAAGUCGAACGAAGCCCUCGGGCUUAGUGGCGGACGGGUGAGUAACGCGUGAGAAUCUACCUUCUAGAUGGGGACAACCGUUGGAAACGACAGCUAAUCCCCAAUAAGCCGAGAGGUGAAACGGGUAUCCGCUAGAAGAGGAGCUCGCGUCCGAUUAGUUAGUUGGUGGGGUAAAAGCCUACCAAGGCAGCGAUCGGUAGCUGGUCUGAGAGGAUGAGCAGCCACACUGGGACUGAGACACGGCCCAGACUCCUACGGGAGGCAGCAGUGGGGAAUUUUCCGCAAUGGGCGAAAGCCUGACGGAGCAACGCCGCGUGUGGGAAGAAGGCUCUUGGGCUGUCAACCACUUUUCUCAGGGAAGAAGACCUGACGGUACCUGAGGAAUCAGCCUCGGCCAACUCCGUGCCAGCAGCCGCGGUAAUACGGAGGAGGCAAGCGUUAUCCGGAAUUAUUGGGCGUAAAGCGUCCGCAGGGGGCGCAUCAAGUCUGCUGUUAAAGGUCGGAGCUAAACUCCGGUAGAAGCAGUUGGAA
RNAcentral lists this ribosomal RNA (565 nucleotides) under uncultured organism. RNAcentral describes it as "bacterial SSU rRNA". It matches the Rfam family "Bacterial small subunit ribosomal RNA", at positions 24 to 632 of the family's 1533-position model. The record is from RNAcentral.